This 28-nucleotide small RNA is filed under the name Bombyx mori (domestic silkworm). RNAcentral describes it as "ovarian small RNA-27205". The record is from RNAcentral. Lineage: Eukaryota; Metazoa; Arthropoda; Insecta; Lepidoptera; Bombycidae.
UCCCAUCUUGAUUGUCUUGAUUAAUGGU